AUGUUGUUAAUUCGAUGAUACGCGAAGAACCUUACCAGGUCUUGACAUCCCCUGCAAAGCUAUAGAGAUAUAGUGGAGGUUAUCAGGGAGACAGGUGGUGCAUGGUUGUCGUCAGCUCGUGUCGUGAGAUGUUGGGUUAAGUCCCGCAACGAGCGCAACCCUUAUUGCUAGUUACCAUCAUUAAGUUGGGGACUCUAGCGAGACUGCCAGUGAUAAACUGGAGGAAGGUGGGAUGACGUCAAAUCAUCAUGCCCCUUAUGACCUGGGCUACAAACGUGAUACAAUGGCUGGAACAGAGGGCAGCGAAGCAGUGGAUGUGAAGCGAAACCCAAAAAUACAGUCUCAGUUCGGAUUGAAGUCUGCAACUCGACUUCAUGAAGUUGGAAUCGCUAGUAAUCGCGGAUCAGAACGCCGCGGUGAAUACGUUCUCGGGGUUU
This 437-nucleotide ribosomal RNA is filed under the name uncultured Acholeplasma sp. Its description in RNAcentral is "bacterial SSU rRNA". It matches the Rfam family "Bacterial small subunit ribosomal RNA", at positions 939 to 1382 of the family's 1533-position model. Lineage: Bacteria; Bacillati; Mycoplasmatota; Mollicutes; Acholeplasmatales; Acholeplasmataceae. The record is from RNAcentral.